GCACGUGACCCCUGGGCGCCUGACGCUGCGGGCUCUGGAGGAACAUGGCGCUGUGGGCUUGUUCGGUUGUUCCCGCCCUCAGGCUUUGGGGCCUGGGAGGUGCGCGGCCCUGGACCCGCCGGCCUUGUGUUGCAGGUGGAGGAAGGCCCAUAUCUUUUUCUGCCGGUGCCUCAAGUGUCUCUGGAAGUGGAGGCCACAGUCAGAAGUUUCUCCUGCAGGACAUUGCUGAGCUGAUUAAAACCAGAGCCUGCCAGAGGGUGGUGGUCAUGGUGGGGGCCGGCAUCAGCACACCCAGCGGCGUCCCAGACUUCAGAUCUCCAGGGACCGGAUACUACAGCAACCUCCAGCAGUACAAGAUCCCCUACCCCGAGGCCAUUUUUGAGCUCUCAUUUUUCUUUCGCGAUCCCAAGCCGUUUUUCACUUUUGCCAAGGAGCUGUACCCUGGGAACUAUAGGCCUAAUGCCACUCACUACUUCCUGCGCCUGCUCCAUGACAAGGGGCUGCUUCUGCGGCUCUACACACAGAACAUCGAUGGGCUUGAGAGAGCGUCUGGCAUCCCUGCCUCAAAGCUCGUUGAAGCUCAUGGAUCCUUUGCCUCUGCCACCUGCACCGUCUGCCGAAGACCCUUCCCAGGGGAGGACUUUUGGGCCGACGUGAUGGUGGACACGGUCCCACGCUGCCCGGUCUGCACUGGCGUUGUGAAGCCCGACAUCGUAUUCUUUGGGGAGAUGCUGCCCCACAGGUUCCUGCUGCAUCUGGCUGACUUCCCCAUGGCAGACCUGCUGCUCAUCCUUGGGACCUCGCUGGAGGUGGAACCUUUCGCCAGCUUGUCUGAGGCCGUGAGGAGCUCGGUGCCCCGACUGCUCAUCAACCGGGACUUGGUGGGGUCCUUGGCUAGGCAUCCUCGGGGCAGGGAUGUGGUCCAGCUGGGGGACGUGGUUCACGGUGUGAAAAGGCUGGUGGAGCUUCUGGGCUGGACGGAGGAGAUGCGGGACCUCAUCCAGCGGGAAACUGGAAAGGUAGGGACUGCUGAGAGUCACGGGAGGGGCCAUCUCUUCUACUCUGGGGUCUGGUCAACCUGGAGUGGCGCCCUCUUUGGCUAAAACAGUAACAGUAAUAGGUAAUAUUGCUGUUAACCCUGUACCAGGCACUGUUUGGCGCCAUCUAUGUGCGUAGGAAUCGGGUGCUGUGAUUCUUAAUACCUCUGUUUAGAGAUGAAGAAACUGAUGCUUCGUUCCUGCUGAGUGGCAGAGUGGAGAUGAGGGUCUAGGCAGACAGGGCUGUCGUUCUGCAGUCGUCACACUUCAGCUGUCUUUGUACCCUGAACUGAAGGAGCACUCCAGGAUAAGAUGUGAUUCUGAAGUUCUCUGAACCUGUGUGGGAUGAUGCUUUUAGGAGAUAAUCAGAGUGAGAGGAGUUGACGUAUCAUCUGCUGAGCGUAGAAAGUCAGAGAGCCUUGAUCUCUCUAGAUGUCAAACCUCCUAUAAACAAGUGAGGUUACAGAAGAUGCAGUUUCCCAUGAGAAUCAGUUAGCACGUGUAGCCUUGAUGUGAGGGGUUCUUUUCUACAGGGGGCAGCAUUAAGCAUUUUAAGUCCAGUUGUCUCAAAGAGGAUUACUUAUGAUGACAGCCAGGUUUAACACUGCUGGAAGUGGACUUCACUAGAAUGCUGUAAGUUAUAUUCUUGCCAUCUCGGGAAACCUCUCACCUUCUGGCUGUGGCUGCUUCAGGACUCAGGGCCAUGAGUGAGCCCUUUCCUCUCACCUCCACUGGCAAAAGCCCCCAGCCUCUGGCUACAGCCUGAUUUCUUACCAAUUUGAACCAAAGCAAGAAGAAUAUGAGGCUUUUUAAAGAUAUAAGACUUUGCAGUUAUAUUGUUUUCAUGAUAUUAGACAUCAGUGCCUUUCAAUCCAGAGUUUGGCUCUUAGGGAUAAGAUGUAGGACGGUGCCAUUUCUCAUCUCAUUAUAUGGAGGAAAUAAAGACCAUCAAAUGUUAAAGUCACGUUGCUGGGUCGCUUAAUGGAAGCAGAGUCCGGCUAAUACGGAUGCUUACACUUUACACCUCGAGAGGAACCGUAGCAGAUGCCUUGCUCACAGGGGAGUAGAGAUCUUGGUCAGAUCCGCCUGGCAGCUUACACAGGAGCCUUGGGUGGCUGACUUCCUACUUCCAUAUAACAGCAAGACAAAGUCAAGUAGCCUCUAUAGACGUUUAGAAUUAGAGUCCUAUAGGAUUUGACCUGUGCUAUUUUCUAGUUCCACAGAAAUUUGUGUAAAGUUACGAUUUUAGGGGUUUACUUAUUUUAAAAGAGUUGCUGUCCAAGAAUAAACACUAAGGGAUGAGCUGAAGUCUAAGCUGGAUUACUUUUCCAAACAGUGAGCGUACGUGAGUACAUCUCGCCUGGUUACUUAAGCGAAGCCCUCCAUUUAGCCGCCCAGUUUCGCCCAGCCCUGCUGGCAUCGUCUUAACUUGGUUGAACAGCAGCAUUUGCGGACAGAAAAGCUUCCGUUUUAGGAAAUAAUUCAAUUCCAGGCCCUGAGAUGUGCCCAGGUAUGUUUUCAGAUAACCAGUUUCCUCUCUCCUUUGUGCUCCAGCUUGAUGGUUGGGACAAAUUAGGAGAGUGAGGGCUGCUCCUCACGCCAGAAAGGGCUACACGGGAGCCACUGCCCACUUCUGAUGAGCCCUCUGCCUGAAGAACAGCUCGGGCACGCUUACAAAUUUUGGCUGAACCAGAACAUGCGACCUGAGGCUGCCCCUGGAGUGUCUUCCCAGGUCAUGAGUCUGUGCACUCGGGGCCACCCCAGCCACAGAUGUGCAGGAGCUGCCUGGCCUGACUUUUUGCUGAAGCUCUUAAUGCCACAAGCGUUCUUCUGAUGGUCAACCUCUUGGACUCAGACAACCUGGAACCCCAGACUGGACUCCAUCUGAAGGGCAGGUUUAGCAUCUGUCCACUUGGGUCGAGCAGCCCCAGUCACACCCCAAGUGUGGGCCUGGGUCCCAGGGAAGAUGAACGUGGAAAGGGGAGCUUGGGGGUGUGUGCGUGUCUCUCCUCUACUGAAACAACCCGAGGACUGAGAACAUUUGUCCCUGAUUCAUCUCGGAGAUGGGCAUAGUGCCCUCUUCCAGCUCAAGUCCACGGGACUUUCAGAGCACCCAGCACCCCUCAUGAAGGUCAUCCCAUCCUGUUCACUCGACCCUGAUGCCUUUCACAUCAACCCCCAGAAACUCAUCUGUUCCAGACCAUUCCAGCAGCUUCCUGUCUCCCUGUUUCUCCUCGCCCCCAUCAGGCCUUCUUCCAGUAAUGCUGCUAGAAUUAACCUCUAAGACAGAAGGCAGUACUCAUUUGGAAACCUCGCCCAGCUCCCUGACCUGUGCUCAGGCCACACCGCUGUUUGGGCAGAACAUACUGUGGUCUCGCUGCUUCUGUACAGGCCUCUUCUGGGGUUGCCCCAACCCUGCCCCCAGUGCUUUCUCCUUCCUGGCAUCUUGUCUUCCCCACUGGGCCCCUGGGCUGGAGCAGAUCUCACCGACAGACUCCUCAGGAGACCUGGUGGCCUCACUCUUCAAGAACAAGACAUGCGGGCUUCCCUGGUGGCGCAGUGGUUGAGAGUCCGCCUGCCGAUGCAGGGGACACGGGUUCGUGCCCCGGUCCGGGAAGAUCCCACAUGCCGCGCAGCGGCUGGGCCCGUGAGCCAUGGCCGCUGAGCCUGCGCGUCCGGAGCCUGUGCUCCGCAACGGGAGAGGCCACAACAAUGAGAGGCCUGCGUACAGCAAAAAAAAAAAAAAAAAGAACAAGACACGCAUACGCACCUGGGAAAAGUGCUGAAUUGUAAGAAAAACAUGAUUCUAUUUCUGCUUAACGUGCCUUUACUUGGUAUCUUGCACAUGUAUUCACACACAAACAUCCCUGCCUGGAACUCUUUAUUCCAGAAUAAUGUUUCUGUGAAGCUCUGUGGUGCAUGACAGAAAUCUAGACUUAUGGUUUCAGGAGAGACAUUUUCCUUCAUGUAUUUAUGGUUGAAACCAGUGGGAAGGAUUGAGACCCAACUGUCACAACCAGAGAACUUGGGCACUGAGCCAGGACCGAGAAUGCAAGAGGCUGCCAGCCGUGCACUCAGUGGGGACAAAAACAGCAGAUCCUACCUUGUGUGUUUCUGGCAUUAGCAUAUAAAGUUCCAGCAGGUUCUUUCCCCUG
Molecule: RNA transcript, 4192 nt
Organism: Globicephala melas (long-finned pilot whale)
Lineage: Eukaryota; Metazoa; Chordata; Mammalia; Artiodactyla; Delphinidae
Gene: SIRT3
Gene name: sirtuin 3
Source: RefSeq, a predicted model, not a curated record